Molecule: ribosomal RNA, 460 nt
Filed under: uncultured bacterium
Lineage: Bacteria
Description: partial 16S ribosomal RNA
Rfam family: Bacterial small subunit ribosomal RNA
Source: RNAcentral
CCUACGGGAGGCAGCAGUGAGGAAUAUUGGUCAAUGGGCGAGAGUCUGAACCAGCCAAGUAGCGUGAGGGAUGACUGUCCUAUGGAUUGUAAACUUCUUUUAUAAGGGAAUAAAACGUGGGACGUGUCCUUUUUUGUAUGUACCUUAUGAAUAAGGAUCGGCUAACUCCGUGCCAGCAGCCGCGGUAAUACGGAGGAUCCGAGCGUUAUCCGGAUUUAUUGGGUUUAAAGGGAGCGUAGGUGGCUUGUUAAGUCAGUGGUGAAAGUCUGUGGCUCAACCGUAAAAUUGCAGUUGAGACUGGCAGUCUUGAGUAUAGUUGAGGCAGGCGGAAUUCGUGGUGUAGCGGUGAAAUGCUUAGAUAUCACGCAGAACCCCGAUUGCGAAGGCAGCUUACUGUACCGCCACUGACACUGAGGCACGAAAGCGCGGGGAUCAAACAGGAUUAGAUACCCGGGUAGUC